CAUGGGGAACGGGGGUUAAGUCAUUAAAAUAUUGUACAUUAAAUAAAUUACAAUUUUCUAACUACUCACACGAGUCGCUUUCUUAUUAAUUGUCCAUUGUGAAAAUUUUAAAUAUAUGUACUUAUCUCCGUUUUCCUUAACACCACAAAUAUUUUUUUUAAACUUUAACUGAAAUAUUCUACUGAAUUCUAAUUUUAAAUAAUUAUUAUCUAUUUUUUUUAAGCAACAAUAAAAUGAUAAUUAUAUUAUUUAUAUAAAUAAAAAAAUUGCAGUUUUAAGUGUAUAAUUUUAUAUAUUUUAAUAUUGACAGAGAUCUUAAUUAUCUUGGAUUAAUUAAAUUAAAAAGGGCAUUAGAGUUAGGAUAGUUAUAAUUGUUUUUUUUUAUAACGCCUAGUUUAAUUAGCUAAUGUGUAAUUAGCGAUAUUAAUUUGUAUGUUCGUCCGUCGGUCGGUUGUUGCAAUGCUUGAUCAUGUCUAGAUGGUUUAAAUGAAUUGUUAACUAAGAUAAUAAAUAUUUGUGACAAUUUUAUAACAAUAUAAAACAAAAAAAA
Molecule: unclassified non-coding RNA, 550 nt
Filed under: Melitaea cinxia (Glanville fritillary)
Lineage: Eukaryota; Metazoa; Arthropoda; Insecta; Lepidoptera; Nymphalidae
Description: misc RNA ENSMCXG00005009955.1
Source: RNAcentral